GUGAAAGCAACCUGGUAUUCUAUCGUCAGCCAACUACAUGAGUAACAUUGAUUAUUUAGCUGACUACACAAGUAAUUUACUUUUUCUCAUCUUAUGAUGCUCGGAGCAAUGCUUGUGUGAUGAAGCUUACUCGCGCAACCUAUUCACAUAUGUACUGUAGCUGUUGAAGCAAAAGUUAUCUGCACAGACGGCAAUGGCAAGAGCAUAUUGUGCGGAGAAAGAGGAUGAGAAG
Hordeum vulgare subsp. vulgare (domesticated barley) is the source of this 232-nucleotide long non-coding RNA. RefSeq lists it as uncharacterized. NCBI's taxonomy places the organism in Eukaryota, Viridiplantae, Streptophyta, Magnoliopsida, Poales, Poaceae. The record is from RefSeq and is a predicted model, not a curated record. The transcript has 3 exons.